AGGUGGAGAAGAUGGAGGAGGAGAAAGAAAAAGAUACAAAAGACAGAAGAGAGCAUCAGUUUGGAUAACUGUGGACUCUAGAUUUUCGUUCCUGACACAGGACCAGCUACAUCAUUCUCGCAAAAUGGAAGUGCAGUCUUCAGCUCAGAAGUCACCGGCAACGUUUACACAGAGACAACUGAACACAAGACCCUCCUGACGUGCUUUUGAGGCCUUCUAGCCAAAAAAGGCAGCCCUGUCAGCCAAAGGUAACACAGCCUAGAAAAUAUUUCUCCCAUUCCUUGGGUUCUUUCCCUUCUG
This 300-nucleotide long non-coding RNA is filed under the name Rattus norvegicus (Norway rat). RNAcentral describes it as "long non-coding RNA NONRATT032758". Lineage: Eukaryota; Metazoa; Chordata; Mammalia; Rodentia; Muridae. The record is from RNAcentral.